GUCUCCACGCAUAGGAGAUGACGCCAAGGCAUAGGAGAUGACUGCCUGGAACCAAGGAGUGAGUCUGACAAGUCUGACAGCCUUGAGCUGGGACUGAAGGAGCAGCAGAGCUCACAAUCUGGGAGGCUGCCUGGAGGAGGAACAGUCCCUUAUAUGGACAGAUCACCGUGUGUCUACCCACCAAUAACGAAGCAUCUGAGUCUACCUGGUCUUUGAUGAGCCUGAAGAAGGCUAUUUUGGUGUGGACGAGGUUUCCAUCUCUUUUGAGUCCUUCUGUAACGUUGAAUAAUGUCCCACUGUCCUUUAGACCGUUGGGGCUCUGCACGCCAGUCAAAAACCUGGGCUAUCCACCACCAUUACUUAGUCCUCAGCUCUCCCAUGCUUCCUCACACAGCCACACGCAACCAAGAGGUUCUCCACCAGGUCCAAAUAGAAGCACUCCUGUUGCACCUUCUCUCUGUGUGUGCAGGUGCAUGCCCAGAGGCACACGCAGAGGCCACAGGAGAUGUUGGGUGUCCAAUCUCCCACUCUCCACCUUAUUUCUCUGAGGCAGGGUUUCUGGCUGAGCCUGCGCCUAGGCUGUCUGCCAGAACAGCCCAGCUAGUCUCCUGUCUACACUGACACAGCCCUGGGAUUGAUAUGGCUGAGCCUGGUUUUGUUUUGCUUGGGUACUAGGAAUUUGAAUGCAGGCCCUCAUGUGUGCACAGUGAAAGCUCUUACCUGCUGAGCCAUGCCCCCAGUCCUGUUGCAGCUUCUUCGUUCAGAAGGGACUCUAGCAUUGAACCUCACCAUGCAUCCUGGUCUGCCUGUUUCCGGUGGAGAAGUCAAGUGGGGGAAAGAGGCACAGCCAACCUCAUGCUGCGCAUGUACCAACCACAUGCCACACUGUGGCCUCUCUCUGAGUCUCAUUGAAAUGGGGAAGCAAGAAGGACCCCAAGGCAGCUGCCAAGAGAAAGGCACCGUAUCUGAUGACGAGCUUUGAUCUGGAGUAAAGGCUCUGAAGAAAUCGGGCUCCUGGCUGUGGUGGUUUGAAUGAAAUAUCCCCCCCUAGGCUCAGAUAUUAGGAUACCAGGUCCCAGUUGGCAGUGUUUGGGGAGGCUUAUGUGUGGCUUUGCUGGAGGGAGCAUGUCACUAGAAGCCUGUCUCCCUACACUCCACCAUCAUGGACUCUUUUUUUUAAUUAAUUAAAUGUAUGUGAGUACACUGCUGUUCUCUUCAGACAUGUCAGAAGAGAGCAUCGGAUCCCAUUACAGAUGGUUGUGAGCCACCAUGUGGUUGCUGGGGAUUGAACUCAGGUCCCCUGGAAGAGCAGUCAGUGUGCUCUUAACCACAGUGCCAUCUCUCCAACCCCAUCAUGGACUCUUAACCCUCUGGAACCAUAGAUUAAAAUAAAUUCUUCCUUCUA
Molecule: long non-coding RNA, 1405 nt
Organism: Rattus norvegicus (Norway rat)
Lineage: Eukaryota; Metazoa; Chordata; Mammalia; Rodentia; Muridae
Source: RefSeq, a predicted model, not a curated record